RNAcentral lists this ribosomal RNA (401 nucleotides) under uncultured bacterium. Its description in RNAcentral is "bacterial SSU rRNA". It matches the Rfam family "Bacterial small subunit ribosomal RNA", at positions 30 to 429 of the family's 1533-position model. The record is from RNAcentral.
AUUGAACGCUGGCGGAAUGCUUUACACAUGCAAGUCGAACGGCAGCACGGGUGCUUGCACCUGGUGGCGAGUGGCGAACGGGUGAGUAAUGCACCGGAACGUAUCCAAUAAUGGGGGAUAACGCACCGAAAGGUGUGCUAAUACCGCAUACGCCCUGAGGGGGAAAGCGGGGGAUCGUAAGACCUCGCGUUAAUGGAGCGGCCGAUGCCGGAUUAGCUAGUUGGUGAGGUAAAGGCUCACCAAGGCGACGAUCCGUAGCUGGUCUGAGAGGACGACCAGCCACACUGGAACUGAGACACGGUCCAGACUCCUACGGGAGGCAGCAGUGGGGAAUUUUGGACAAUGGGCGCAAGCCUGAUCCAGCCAUGCCGCGUGAGUGAAGAAGGCCUUCGGGUUGUAAA